AAGCCAGUGACAGCCAUUGUAA
This 22-nucleotide non-coding RNA is filed under the name Arabidopsis thaliana (thale cress). The record is from RNAcentral. Lineage: Eukaryota; Viridiplantae; Streptophyta; Magnoliopsida; Brassicales; Brassicaceae.